ACGUAGGGGGCAAGCGUUGUCCGGAAUUACUGGGCGUAAAGGGCACGCAGGCGGCUCGGUCAGUCAGAUGUGAAAGUUUGCAGCUUAACUGUAAAAGUGCAUUUGAUACUGCCGGGCUUGAGUCUCGGAGAGGUAAGCGGAAUUCCUAGUGUAGUAGUGAAAUGCGUAGAGAUUAGGAAGAACACCGGCGGCGAAGGCGGCUUACUGGACGAGUACUGACGCUCAGGUGCGAAAGCGUGGGGAGCAAACAG
RNAcentral lists this ribosomal RNA (251 nucleotides) under uncultured bacterium. Its description in RNAcentral is "partial 16S ribosomal RNA". It matches the Rfam family "Bacterial small subunit ribosomal RNA", at positions 525 to 775 of the family's 1533-position model. The record is from RNAcentral.